This 986-nucleotide long non-coding RNA is filed under the name Populus trichocarpa (black cottonwood). Its description in RNAcentral is "long non-coding RNA (PTRI_LNC001934)". The record is from RNAcentral. Lineage: Eukaryota; Viridiplantae; Streptophyta; Magnoliopsida; Malpighiales; Salicaceae.
UAGUAACUAAAUCAAAUACCAUUUUUAUAUAAAAGAUUCAAGUCUAUUUGGAUAGAACACAACCUUCACUCUCCACAAAAUCAAAAGAAAAACUAAAAGCUGCUUCAAUAAAAGUUGAAGACUUCUCAAUUGUCGAUUACAACUACAUAUUGCAAAAGCUUAAAAUACAAUUAUUUCAAAAUGCUCGAUCUCGAUAUAUAUAACCCUGAAAAAGGGUUUUGCACACUUGACAUACAAUGUCUACAGUCUACACCAUUAUCAAAGCCUGUUCAGGUCUGUACUUCUCGACGAAAUUGUUUCAAAACUAAAACUUGUCUCUAUAUUCAACUAAUACACUGUGUAAAUAAAUUUCCAAAAUUCUCUGUUUCACAAUAAUAGCAAUACUAACUAAGAAACUACAAAGACUACAGUUUCCAAUCAGUAUUCUCCUAAUGAAAAAUAAUCAUAAUUUACAAAUCCUAAUUAAUAUUCUACUAUAAAAACAAACUGGGGCAUUAAAAAUUAAUCAAAAAUAUAAAAAGCUUAGACAAUAAUCAUAAACAUUUGAAAAAAAAGGGAAUAAAGAGAGUAAAUACCAGGACGAGAUGGGGGUUUAGGAGAAAAGAUGGUGAGAGAAGAACGCUUGUGUUGGGAUCGGAUCUGGCACUCCCCCCCUCUCUCUCUCUCAAUUGCUCCACCAGUUUCGACCUUGUUAUCAUCUCUUUUCUUGUUCAUCAAAGAUUUUCGAGCUGCCAAUUCAAUUACUGUUUCUUGUUUCGCUUAGCAGAUUUGUCAAUCUUAUAGUUCGAGUAAAUUAUAACUUAGUCACUAUAUUUUUAAGCAAUAAAUAAAUUAGUUCCUCUAGUUCAAGCAACCCCAUAUUUAUUUUUUAUAUUUUCAUACCCAUUUAUAAUUUAGCCUCUCACACACUGCAUGUUUUGCUUGAUUGUCCUUGGACUUGAGCUCUUUGGCUCCGUUCUAGGUUCUGAAAUAGUCCAUUUUUCAUU